Molecule: ribosomal RNA, 446 nt
Filed under: uncultured bacterium
Lineage: Bacteria
Description: partial 16S ribosomal RNA
Rfam family: Bacterial small subunit ribosomal RNA
Source: RNAcentral
CCUACGGGAGACAGCAGUCGAGAAUCAUUCACAAUGGGGGAAACCCUGAUGGUGCAACGCCGCGUGGGGGAAUGAAGUUCUUCGGAUUUUAAACCCCUUUCAUGUGGGAGCAAAUUAAAAAGAUAGUACCACAAGAGGAAGAGACGGCUAACUCUGUGCCAGCAGCCGCGGUAAUACAGAGGUCUCAAGCGUUGUUCGGAAUCACUGGGCGUAAGGCGUGCGUAGGCUGUUUCGUAAGUCGUGUGUGAAAGGCGCGGGCUCAACCCGCGGACGGCACAUGAUACUGCGAGACUAGAGUAAUGGAGGGGGAACUGGAAUUCUCGGUGUAGCAGUGAAAUGCGUAGAUAUAGAGAGGAACACUCGUGGCGAAGGCGGGUGCCUGGACAUUAACUGACGCUGAGGCACGAAGGCCAGGGGAGCGAAAGGGAUUAGAUACCCUUGUAGUC